This 331-nucleotide ribosomal RNA is filed under the name uncultured bacterium. RNAcentral describes it as "bacterial SSU rRNA". It matches the Rfam family "Bacterial small subunit ribosomal RNA", at positions 150 to 507 of the family's 1533-position model. The record is from RNAcentral.
ACCGAAAGGUGGUCUAAUACCUUAUAGUAUCCAUCUCGUAUGGAUUAAAGCUUUAUGCGCUUUGGGAGGGGCCUGCGUUUGAUUAGCUAGUUGGUGAGGUAAAAGCUCACCAAGGCGACGAUCAAUAGCUGGUUUGAGAGGAUGACCAGCCACACUGGGACUGAGAUACGGCCCAGACUCCUACGGGAGGCAGCAGUAAGGAAUCUUCCACAAUGGGGGCAACCCUGAUGGAGCAAUACCGCGUGCAGGAUGAAGCGUUUCGGCGUGUAAACUGCUUUUAUCACCGAAGAUUAAGACUGUAGGUGAAGAAUAAGGACCGGCUAACUACGUG